This is a long non-coding RNA of Hyla sarda, 1358 nucleotides long. RefSeq lists it as uncharacterized. The record is from RefSeq and is a predicted model, not a curated record. The transcript is spliced from 3 exons. Lineage: Eukaryota; Metazoa; Chordata; Amphibia; Anura; Hylidae.
UGUCGUGAGGAUGUAGAAGAGGUUUUUUUCUGAUGACUCUUCCAUGAAGACCAUAUUUGUACAAGUAUCUCUUUAUAGUGGAACUCCAGUGUCUGCCUGAUCUUUCUGGAGGGAUUAUGCAGUCAAACGUGGGUUUUGAAUAGUUUUUCUCACAAUCCUGCGAGCUGUUCUGUCUCAUAUUUUUCUUGGUCUUCCAGAUCUUGCUUUAACUUCCACUGUUCCUGAUGACUGCCAUUUUUUAAUUCCAUUCCGAACAGAGGAUAUUGACAUCUGAAAAUGUUUUGCUAUCUUCUUAUAGCCUUCUCCAGCUUUGUGAGCGUCAACUAUUUUCAGUUUCAGAUUUCUAGACAACUGCUUAGAAGAACCCAUGGUGCUGAUUGUUGAGGCAAGCGCUUCUAGGAUCCAGUGCUGCGCUACGGGAGCCUAGACACGUGACCGCAGCACGAAGAUGUCCUCACAGUGACAGUAGGCUGACUCUGGGCGUGCUGGUUGCAGCUCUAACGAAGCAUCCUAGUUACAGCCUCGCCCGUACAUCCUCCCCUGACCCGGAGGUACUACGCUCCAGGCCAACUCGGUUGCAUCUUUUAUUUUUUGUGUCUAUGGUCACUUCAUGAAUUUUUGUACGCCCACUGCAUCAUCUGCAUUAUGUACCCAUAUACUACUUUAUAUUAUGCUUGCGUAUUUGUUUUUCAUUGUUUUCAUGUAUUUGAUGUGUUUCAUGUAAUAAACUCUGGCCUCUUCUGGUGAAUUUGGGUGCCUGUUUCCACAGUUUUUUUUCUGCAUCCACUUCAGCUUGUCUUCCAGGAUUGGCAAGCCCUCUCCUGCACCCUAGGCUCAGCAACUGUUUCCAUAUAUUGCUAACCCCUACUGAGGGUUGAUAUGCAAGUUUUCCACUUGCUCCAGUUGAAAUCCUGGAAAUUGCUGAACUGCGGAAAAAGAUUCUCUGUGAUCUGCAGAGUGAACAAGGCAAAUAAGGCAAAGACAGAGUAACAAAGUAACAAAAAAUAAAUAAAUACUGAACAAAUGGUACUAUCUAGAGUUACUGAAAAUAAUACACAAAAAUAAGUUACCUUAAAGGGGUACUCCGGUGGGGGAAAAAAUUCAAAUCAACUGGUGGCAGGAAGUUAUACAGAUUUAUAAAUUACUUCUAUAUAAAAAUCUUAAUCCUUCCAGUACUUAUCAGCUGCUGUUUACUGUACAGGAAGUUGUGUAGAUCUUUCUAGUCUGAACACAGUGCUCUCUGCUGCCACCUCUGUCCAUGUCAGGAACUGUACAGAACAGGAGAUAUUCACUAUGGGUAUUUGCUCCUUCUCUGGACAGGUGAAAUGUGUUGAGUGUUGAAAAUGCAGGGACAUUCC